UACGUAGGGUGCGAGCGUUAAUCGGAAUUACUGGGCGUAAAGUGUGCGCAGGCGGCUUCGCAAGUCGAGUGUGAAAUCCCCCGAGCUUAACUUGGGAAUUGCGCUCGAAACUACGGAGCUGGAGUGUGGCAGAGGAAGGUGGAAUUCCACGUGUAGCGGUGAAAUGCGUAGAGAUGUGGAGGAACACCGAUGGCGAAGGCAGCCUUCUGGGCCAACACUGACGCUCAUGCACGAAAGCGUGGGGAGCAAACAGG
This 254-nucleotide ribosomal RNA is filed under the name uncultured bacterium. Its description in RNAcentral is "partial 16S ribosomal RNA". It matches the Rfam family "Bacterial small subunit ribosomal RNA", at positions 524 to 776 of the family's 1533-position model. The record is from RNAcentral.